AUUGAACGCUGGCGGCAGGCUUAACACAUGCAAGUCGAGCGAGCGGCGGCCGGGUGAGUAAUGUCUGGGAAACUGCCUGAUGGAGGGGGAUAACUACUGGAAACGGUAGCUAAUACCGCAUACCAUCAGAUGUGCCCAUAUGGGAUUAGAUAGUAGGGGGGGUAAUGGCUCACCUAGGCGACACUCCCUAGCUGGUCUGAGAGGGUGACCAGGCACACUGUAACUGAGACACGGUCCAGACUCCUACGGGAGGCAGCAGGGGGGAAUAUUGCACAAUGGGCGCAAGCCUGAUGCAGCCAUGCCGCGUGUGUGAAGAAGGCCUUCGGGUUGUAAAGCACGUUCAGCGAGGAGGCGGUACUCGCAGAAGAAGCACCGGCUAACUCCGUGCCAGCAGCCGCGGUAAUUC
Molecule: ribosomal RNA, 406 nt
Filed under: uncultured bacterium
Lineage: Bacteria
Description: partial 16S ribosomal RNA
Rfam family: Bacterial small subunit ribosomal RNA
Source: RNAcentral